Rhododendron vialii is the source of this 1705-nucleotide long non-coding RNA. RefSeq lists it as uncharacterized. The record is from RefSeq and is a predicted model, not a curated record. The transcript is spliced from 2 exons. Lineage: Eukaryota; Viridiplantae; Streptophyta; Magnoliopsida; Ericales; Ericaceae.
CUUUUUUUCUUUUCCUUUCCUUUCUUUUCUUUUCCAAACAGAGCUUAAACGUAGCCAAAACUCUAUCCAGGUUUACUCCGACCCACCGCAGACAGCUUCCUUUUGUUUAUCCACCUCACCUUAACUAUAUCCACUUCCUUAACCAUAGCCAGAACUGUAUCCACUCCAUUAAUCAACUGUUAAAGGAACGUUCUUUUCUUUCUACCCGCCGAGUCGCCGACGGUUUACCCAACGACUCCAACGUGGACGUCGACGCACCGUCGAACCCAGCUUUCCUUUCAAGCUUUCUCAGCCGGUAGAUUACUCCAACGCAGACGAUUCUCAACUGCAACGACGCUGGUGGAAAUUCUCAACUCCAAUGAUGCAGACGUCGACGCAAUCGAAUCUCGUUCCCGUCCUCUCACCUCCCUCUACCGCCUCAUCUCUAAUGGGCUGGGUAUUUAACUGGUGGUGAUGGGAGCUACAAUUAGUUGUUGACGGAGUUGAAUGGGGUCGGUCAGUGAUGUACCAGGUGUCAGUUGUUUGCAGUCGGAAAAUACUUCGCAAUUGAUUACGUUUUGGGGAUGUUGAUUAUGAUUGUGAUUGUAAUUAUAAUUGAUAAAAGCUGAUGGCAAAAUAAGCAAUUGAUGCUGAAUUUCCUGCUCAUAACAAGAAAAGAGUUCUCCUCUUCCUCUACUUUCAAUUUAUUUUUUUUUGCCAAGAAAAGACGGGAAAAAAAGACGAACAAGUUACAAGGGUAUUAAAGUCAGUUCAGCUUUACGUUAAAGGAGUUAUGGUUGCGAUUUGGUCAUUAAUAAAUCUCAGGAAGGUCAUUUUACCAAAAGGCCGAACCACAUGGAGGUAAUCCGUACUUUGCCCAAAGAUUUUUUGCUUCAUGAUGAUCCUUCUAUUUUUUUGGAACAUGGGUAGCACUUUAAUACCCAUUCAAAAAUGAGACGCUCGUACCCUUCAUGCUAGAAAAGAAUGACAUAACAAAAAAGGUGGAUGUAAUGUUUGGUAGUGUUUGCUCGCUACUGCGGCAUUCACUUGGAGUAUAUAUCACAAUGUUCCUUACGGGUUCGAAUGCAUGCCGAAGCUCCUAAGCGAAGUGCCAUUUUAGGUUAGCUGUAGGCAGCAAUUCAGCAGUGGCCGGGAAAGGGUGAGGUUUUAGGCUCAGUUAGAAAGGGAGAGGAAAUAAAGGUGAAGUGGUAUGGUUGUCUUCUAUUUUCUUUACGGUUUGUUUUCGGAACAUUUAGUAAGUGGAUCCAAUUACUAAUUUGUUCAACAAAAAUACUUUUGAGAUGGUAAUAAGAGAUGCUGUACUUAUGUGGAGUCACCUCCCUUCCUACAAGCAAUACAAAAAGCAAUUGAUGGUCUCAGCAUUACUAUGAAUACUUCAUAAUUUUUUCUCAUGUGAUUGGUGGAAUGAUUGUGUUGUUUUGAAUUCCAGGUUACAUUUCCUAGCUUGGAGAAUUUGGUAUGAUGUCUAUGAAGGUUGCAAAAGAACUCGGAGUCGAAGAUUGUGGGAGUUCAAGAUUCCUUCCAUGUCCGGAGUUCUUGUGAAUCUCUGAAAACCGAUAAUUAAAGAUUCCUCGAAGAUGUAAGCAUUAGGUCAGGAAAGAAAAAAUAGUAGUAGGACAAGGAAGAAAAAGUAUAUAAAACUAUUUUCCCUUAGUUGAUAGAAUUGCAACUUUGUCAUCUACCGAAUCUACAAAGGUUUUUUCCA